RNAcentral lists this ribosomal RNA (435 nucleotides) under uncultured bacterium. Its description in RNAcentral is "bacterial SSU rRNA". It matches the Rfam family "Bacterial small subunit ribosomal RNA", at positions 355 to 786 of the family's 1533-position model. The record is from RNAcentral.
UGAGGAAUAUUGGUCAAUGGGCGAGAGCCUGAACCAGCCAAGUCGCGUGAGGGAUGACGGCCCUACGGGUUGUAAACCUCUUUUGCCGGGGAGCAAUGCUCCGCACGAGUGCGGAGCGGGAGAGUACCCGGAGAAAAAGCAUCGGCUAACUCCGUGCCAGCAGCCGCGGUAAUACGGAGGAUGCGAGCGUUAUCCGGAUUUAUUGGGUUUAAAGGGUGCGUAGGCGGAACGCCAAGUCAGCGGUAAAAAGUUCGGGGCUCAACCCCGUCGUGCCGUUGAAACUGGUGUCCUUGAGUGGGCGAGAAGUAUGCGGAAUGCGUGGUGUAGCGGUGAAAUGCAUAGAUAUCACGCAGAACUCCGAUUGCGAAGGCAGCAUACCGGCGCCCGACUGACGCUGAAGCACGAAAGCGUGGGUAUCGAACAGGAUUAGAUACC